CAGUCGCCGCGGGAAUACGAAGGGGGCUAGCGUUGCUCGGAAUGACUGGGCGUAAAGGGCGCGUAGGCGGCGGCCAAAGUCAGGCGUGAAAUUCCCGGGCUCAACCUGGGGGCUGCGUUUGAUACUUGGUUGCUUGAGUGGGGAAGAGGGUCGUGGAAUUCCCAGUGUAGAGGUGAAAUUCGUAGAUAUUGGGAAGAACACCGGUGGCGAAGGCGGCGACCUGGUCCUUCACUGACGCUGAGGCGCGAAAGCGUGGGGAGCAAACAGGAUUAGAUACCCCCGUAGUCCCUGUCUCUUAUAC
RNAcentral lists this ribosomal RNA (301 nucleotides) under uncultured bacterium. RNAcentral describes it as "partial 16S ribosomal RNA". It matches the Rfam family "Bacterial small subunit ribosomal RNA", at positions 509 to 807 of the family's 1533-position model. The record is from RNAcentral.